Meriones unguiculatus (Mongolian gerbil) is the source of this 132-nucleotide small nucleolar RNA. NCBI's taxonomy places the organism in Eukaryota, Metazoa, Chordata, Mammalia, Rodentia, Muridae. The record is from Ensembl.
UAUACCCCUAGAGGCACUUCAGGUGUGUCUUUUGUAUGACAUGUGUGCCAGUGGGUCGCAGAGAGGAGAGAUGCUAUGUCUAUGCUCAGCAUUCUGACCUAUGAACACCUGAAUAAUUAGGAGCCUACCAUC